Molecule: RNA transcript, 2972 nt
Organism: Nycticebus coucang (slow loris)
Lineage: Eukaryota; Metazoa; Chordata; Mammalia; Primates; Lorisidae
Gene: KLC1
Gene name: kinesin light chain 1
Exons: 18
Source: RefSeq, a predicted model, not a curated record
CGCCACUCGCUCGUGACUGUAGCGCCGCGCCUCAGGCGGCCGAGGCGGCGGGCCCGGCGCGGUCUCUGCUCCGCGCACGCGCACGGCGGCGCCUCCCGGUGCUGACAGCGCGAGAGAGCGCGGCCCGCAGCAGCAGGACGAAUGCAUGACAACAUGUCCACGAUGGUGUACAUAAAGGAAGAUAAGUUGGAGAAGCUUACACAGGACGAAAUCAUUUCUAAGACAAAGCAGGUGAUCCAGGGCCUGGAAGCUCUGAAGAAUGAGCACAACUCUAUUCUACAGAGUUUACUGGAGACACUGAAGUGUCUGAAGAAAGAUGACGAGAGCAACCUGGUGGAGGAGAAAUCAAACAUGAUCCGGAAGUCGCUAGAGAUGCUGGAGCUGGGCCUGAGCGAGGCACAGGUCAUGAUGGCUUUGUCAAAUCACCUGAAUGCUGUUGAGUCAGAAAAACAGAAGCUGCGUGCGCAGGUCCGCCGUCUGUGCCAGGAGAAUCAGUGGCUGCGGGACGAGCUGGCCAACACGCAGCAGAAAUUACAGAAGAGUGAGCAGUCUGUGGCACAACUGGAGGAGGAAAAGAAGCAUCUGGAAUUUAUGAAUCAGCUGAAAAAAUACGAUGACGACAUUUCCCCAUCUGAGGACAAGGACACGGAUUCCACCAAAGAGCCUCUGGAUGACCUUUUCCCCAACGAUGAAGAUGACCCAGGACAAGGCAUCCAGCAGCAGCACAGCAGCGCUGCUGCAGCUGCCCAGCAGGGCGGCUACGAGAUCCCCGCACGGCUGCGCACGCUCCACAACCUGGUGAUCCAGUACGCCUCCCAGGGCCGCUACGAGGUGGCGGUGCCCCUCUGCAAGCAGGCAUUGGAGGAUCUGGAGAAGACUUCAGGACACGACCACCCCGACGUGGCCACCAUGCUCAACAUCCUGGCCUUGGUGUACAGGGAUCAAAAUAAAUACAAAGAUGCAGCUAAUCUACUGAAUGAUGCCUUGGCUAUUCGCGAAAAGACUUUGGGCAAAGAUCAUCCUGCGGGAAAGCUCACGAGCUGCCUUUCCCUGGCGCAGGUGGCAGCAACUUUGAACAACCUUGCGGUCCUUUAUGGUAAAAGAGGAAAGUACAAAGAAGCUGAGCCGUUGUGUAAACGAGCUUUGGAGAUCAGAGAAAAGGUUUUGGGCAAGGAUCACCCUGAUGUCGCUAAGCAGUUGAAUAAUUUGGCCUUACUGUGCCAGAACCAGGGCAAAUACGAAGAGGUGGAGUAUUAUUAUCAAAGAGCCCUUGAGAUCUACCAGACAAAACUGGGACCUGAUGACCCCAAUGUAGCCAAGACAAAAAAUAACCUGGCAUCUUGCUAUCUAAAACAAGGAAAGUUCAAGCAAGCAGAAACACUGUAUAAGGAGAUUCUCACCCGUGCACAUGAAAGGGAGUUUGGUUCUGUAGACGAUGAAAAUAAACCCAUUUGGAUGCAUGCUGAAGAAAGAGAAGAAUGCAAAGGAAAGCAAAAGGACGGAACAUCUUUUGGAGAGUAUGGUGGCUGGUACAAAGCCUGCAAAGUUGAUAGUCCAACUGUUACAACUACUCUCAAAAAUCUCGGGGCACUUUACAGACGGCAGGGCAAAUUCGAAGCCGCAGAAACGUUAGAAGAAGCUGCCAUGAGGUCACGCAAACAGGGUCUUGACAAUGUUCACAAACAGAGAGUGGCUGAAGUGCUGAAUGACCCUGAGAACAUGGAGAAGCGGAGGAGCAGGGAGAGCCUCAACGUGGACGUGGUCAAGUACGAGAGUGGCCCUGACGGAGGGGAGGAAGUGAGUAUGAGCGUAGAGUGGAACGGGGAUGGCACUGGAUCUUUAAAACGCAGUGGUUCCUUUAGCAAACUCCGGGCUUCCAUUAGACGCAGCAGUGAGAAGCUGGUUAGGAAGCUGAAGGGAGGAAGUUCACGGGAGAGUGAGCCGAGGAACCCUGGGAACGAAAUAAUUGUCUGACUCGAGGGCUCUGAGUGGCAGCCACACUGACCUGGCCCAGUGAGGGCUGGGCAGAGUAGGUAACCCCAAGUUGAACGGAGUGCUGAGCUCCUCCCAGCGCUGGUGUGCCCCUCCUGCUCUGCCUGGAGGGCCAGGCUGUACAUUCCCUGGAGCGUUCCUUGUAAAAAGACCCAGGGCACCUGGGCCCCAGGAUUCCAUUAGUGACGGACAGUUGCUGAGACCAGUGUGACCCCCAGGGUGAGGCCCAGGGAGGCAGUGGCGGCGCUGGCAUCAGCUUCAGCACAUUUGGAAUCAGCCACUGCUCAUGGGUACUGUUGUGUCUUCUGCCUGUCACCAAACUGCCUUGACAGUAAACGCUUCUAAAUUUGAAUAUUGCAAUAAGGCUGUACAUUAAGAAUCUGGAAACUUAAACUGCAUCUUUUUCAAAUGAUCAGCAUUAAUGAGCUGAUCUUCAACAGCAAAGCCUGAAGCUGAGAGGGCAGUGGUCAUAAGAAAGGAGGAAGUGGGUCGCUCUCCCAGAGGCUUCACUUUAGGUCUCUCUUUCCAGAGUCCCAGCAUCUGUGGCCUGGGAUACCUUCUGGGUGUAUGGCUGUGCUAGGAGCAUCUGGGGCUCCGCUUCACCCCUUUUGAGGCAUCCCCAGCAGAGCCUCCCUCUGUGGAGAACGACAGCAGCAGCCUAGAAGAUGCAUCCGCUAACUGACCCUGGCCUGGCCUGCUCCAGAAUGAAGCUGCUGUGUGCAGGCCUCGGAGCCGCCCAGGGACAGCCACGGCGAGGCUGGGAGGGCCUCCGGUGGAGCCUGCAGCUCCGACUUGGCUGCUCUUGCACUCACGCCUGUGCUCAUGGGUGCCGCACUCCCCAGGGAGCACAGGCUGCGCCCCUCCCAGACCUGCUGGGCCUCCGAGGGCCACUCCCAGUAUUCGUCCCCAGCACUGUGUGUGAUAAUGUAUUUUACUGUAAAUGUUUUUUUAAAUUAAAAGUUUAUAUGCCUCGUGCUUUA